This 1433-nucleotide ribosomal RNA is filed under the name uncultured bacterium. RNAcentral describes it as "16S ribosomal RNA". It matches the Rfam family "Bacterial small subunit ribosomal RNA". The record is from RNAcentral.
AGAGUUUGAUCCUGGCUCAGGAUGAACGCUGGCGGCGUGCUUAACACAUGCAAGUCGAGCGGGAAUUAGUUAGGUGCUUGCACCUAACUAAUUUUAGCGGCGGUUUAGCGGCGGACGGGUGAGUAACGCGUGGGUAACCUGCCUUAUACAGGGGGAUAACAUAUUGAAAAGUAUGCUAAUACCGCAUAAGCGCACAAUAUCGCAUGAUAUGGUGUGAAAAGCUGAGACGGUAUAAGAUGGACCCGCGUCUGAUUAGCUAGUAGGUGAGGUAAUGGCUCACCUAGGCGACGAUCAGUAGCCGACCUGAGAGGGUGAUCGGCCACAUUGGGACUGAGACACGGCCCAAACUCCUACGGGAGGCAGCAGUGGGGAAUAUUGCACAAUGGGGGAAACCCUGAUGCAGCGACGCCGCGUGAAGGAUGAAGGUUUUCGGAUCGUAAACUUCUAUCAGCAGGGACGAUAAUGACGGUACCUGACUAAGAAGCCCCGGCUAACUACGUGCCAGCAGCCGCGGUAAUACGUAGGGGGCAAGCGUUAUCCGGAAUUACUGGGUGUAAAGGGUGCGUAGGCGGUAAUGUAAGUCAGGUGUGAAAGCCCGAAGCUCAACUUCGGGAUUGCACUUGAAACUACAUAACUAGAGUACAGGAGAGGUGAGUGGAAUUCCUAGUGUAGCGGUGAAAUGCGUAGAUAUUAGGAGGAACACCAGUGGCGAAGGCGACUCACUGGACUGUAACUGACGCUGAGGCACGAAAGCGUGGGGAGCGAACAGGAUUAGAUACCCUGGUAGUCCACGCUGUAAACGAUGAGUGCUAGGUGUAGAGGGUAUCGACCCCUUCUGUGCCGCAGUUAACACAAUAAGCACUCCGCCUGGGGAGUACGGUCGCAAGACUGAAACUCAAAGGAAUUGACGGGGGCCCGCACAAGCAGCGGAGCAUGUGGUUUAAUUCGACGCAACGCGAAGAACCUUACCAGGACUUGACAUCCCUCGCAAUCUGUAGAAAUAUGGAGUUAGUUCCCUUCGGGGACGAGGAGACAGGUGGUGCACGGUUGUCGUCAGCUCGUGUCGUGAGAUGUUGGGUUAAGUCCCGCAACGAGCGCAACCCUUGUCCUUAGUUGCCAGCAUGAAAGAUGGGCACUCUAGGGAGACUGCCGGAGAUAAUUCGGAGGAAGGUGGGGAUGACGUCAAAUCAUCAUGCCCCUUAUGUCCUGGGCUACACACGUGCUACAAUGGGCUGAACAGAGGGAAGCGAGACCGCGAGGUGGAGCCAAUCCCAUAAAACAGCUCUCAGUUCAGAUCGUAGGCUGCAACUCGCCUACGUGAAGAUGGAGUUGCUAGUAAUCGCGGAUCAGCAUGCCGCGGUGAAUGCGUUCCCGGGCCUUGUACACACCGCCCGUCACACCACGAGAGUUAGCAACACCCGACGUCGGUGAGC